This 244-nucleotide long non-coding RNA is filed under the name Brassica napus (rape). RNAcentral describes it as "long non-coding RNA (BNAP_LNC013313)". The record is from RNAcentral. Lineage: Eukaryota; Viridiplantae; Streptophyta; Magnoliopsida; Brassicales; Brassicaceae.
UAAUAUCAUCUAGCCCUUUGAUUAAUCAAAUUAAAUAUAAUUAAAAUAUAUAAUAUUUGUUAGUUAAAUUUUAAACUAAAAAAACAAAAAUGUAAAAGGUAAAAACAAGGUUUACCUUAAUUUUUGUUUCUUUUCUCGUCUUCUUCUUAGCUAAAGUUUUUCUGGUGAUUUCACAUUUGUUAAGAAUCUUAGCAUGUUCCUAGCUGUUUCUCUACCAUAUUCCGUCUCUAUUUUUUUUUCGCUC